CUAACGUUCAACAUCAACUUAUUUCUGGCGAGCAUCGCAGAUUGUUAGCUGAGGAUCAGUGCAAAUCCAGCCACCGAAAGCUACAGUUGGAAAUGAUGUGAGAAGUACACCGCACAUCGGACCAUAUCUUUUGGGUGUAAAAACAGUGGUUUAACCAUGCGCUAAAAAUUCAAAGUGCCUUCCACAAGUUCCGGAUAAAAGCAUAAAACUGCAGUGUUGAAAAGUUGAAAGGCCCUAGGAAUAAAAUUGCUAGUGGUAUUGCUUAAAAAAAUAGAUUCGGAACACACGUGACAGUGAUCAAGUGAAAUUCGAAGGAAAUUAUCUUAAAUGAAUUGACGUUGAACCAAUGGCUUUGGACACUAUGGAGGAAGAGGGAUUUGAACGAACUCGUCGCAAUCGCAUAGCUCCAAAAUGGCGACCAUCAUCAUCUACCCAUGGAACGCUUCACCUAAAACAGUCACCAUAGAUCGGAUGCUAUAAUGAAACACGAAAAUUGGAAGAAUAUGAGCCAAACUAUGAUUAUUACAAUAUUUAGUGACAUUGGAAAUCGCCAACCAAUCGUUACCAAAUGAGCAGCACUAGUAGUUAUAAAUGAAUCAGUUUCGACCGAAGUACGAUGCACAGAUUGAACAGAUAGAAAACAUUCAAAUCGACUGCAAAGAAUGUUUAUUGCAAAUAACGCCUGGGCACUCCAACGCCGGAGAAGUCCACCUAAAACCGAUCGUCCUACUAACGUUAGCUUUAGUAUGGAAAAUAAUUCGUUUAUAAGAAAACCAACCGCAAUGCUUACAGAUGCAACAGAAUAAAAUAUUGAUACGCCAUCUUGUCUUCACAGCAUUCCCCGAUGGCCAGCACGCGCCAGACUGUGAGAGGAAAAAACGCGCCAACUAACGGCGAACGCUUCCAUCCCAGAGGAAGCAUGAACCGAAUACACGUGGCAAAGAGAAAGCACGUGUCCUGUGGUGAAACUAGCUGCCACACACACACACUAACACCACGAUGCCACAGACAAGUGAGCCCGUCGGUCGUUCAAAACUGCUAACAAAAUCAAACACAAAAAGCUCACUAACUGAAAAAUAUAAUGCGAAAUCAAGAGGGGAAAAACCGGCACCAAUUCGACCAGGGGAAAUUGAUUUUCGGCGGAGGAGAAAACUCCUAAGGGGAAAAACCCCGACUUUCCGGCUGAAUUCACACACUGAAUCGAUUUCGGCGAGAGGUUAUGUAAAGCAAAAAAGCCAGCAGAGACUUCCCCAACAUUUGAAAAAGUUCCGUCCGACUCAAGCAAAACGAAAAACAAUACAUUCUAAGGCCAGCAAAUGCAACAACAAAUCACAUCGUCUACCGGCCAGGAAAGCUCAUGGAAGCUGUGGAAAUCGUCGUUUGUGUGUCGGCCUGGGAGCCGCCAUCGUCGCAGUCGCUUUCGUCUGGGAUUCAUCAUCGUCCUGCAAUCGCAACCGGCUAGCAGAUACCCGAGGCUUUCCACCGAGCGAAAGCUUCCAGAGAAGUAUAAAACCUUUUUUUAGUUGUUUUUGCAAUUGUUUCAUUGCACCAACACACGCACAGACACACACACCGUAUUUAACACAGGUCACAGAACUAAAAACGUCAAACGUAUGCAUCGCUCCAAUUUUCGUUCCUUUUGCGAUAAGUAUUUAAUCCUAAGUUUUGAGUGUAUCUUUCUUUUAGUUUUUUUCUUGUGCUAGUUUUUAGUAGUUAUUCCACAACCAAACAAUAGCUAGGAUAAGUAUUUCUUUCGUUUAGAUUAAAUACUACAAACUUUUGAACAGUGCACAAGAGGAAACAAUAUGUCAACAAGAUAAUAGUAACCAGCCAACAGGAAUAUUUUUUAUCAUUUAAUAACACAUAACGAAUGAUUUUACAGGAAGAACAAAAUUAUUGGAUUCAAGCAAAUGACAAAAAAUAUAGGAUAAUGAUUUGAAUUUCCGAUAAAAUUCAAAACAUCUGAUACGUUACAGUCACAAAAAAAAAGAUAACAAACUCGGCCUUCCAAAAAUGAACUGUAGAAAAUUGUUGGUUAUAACUUUGGAAGGAAAGCAAAAAUAAACCAAAAAGCUAAUAGGCAAAACAUUGUAGACACUACGCACAGAAUGCUGCAGCUUUAUGACAGAAAUUAUUUUCAUUGUCGUUAAACCAAAAAUAAUAUACCAACCUCGGGCAACCGAUUUGGACUGAAACCACUAGCGGAGUGUUUAGUUGCAAACGAAACCCAGAUCCAGUUGUUCGUAGAAAAUUAGCAAACUUUUUAGCGAAAUAUUUAUCUGUAUCUGUUGAUAACUGCAAAAAGAUUUAUUUACGUUUGAACGAUAAACAUAUCUAUCUAUAUUCCAUAUUUGAAGCGAAAAAACAAGUUUCAAUUCAAGACAGCAAAAGCAGAAAACAAACAAAAAAAAAACUAGCUAAAUUGAUUCGACAGUCAAAAUUGCUAAAUUUGACACGAAAUAGUCCAAGAACAAAUUGUUACGUUCAAAAUAAGAACAACCUAUGCUGGAUUCAGCGAAAAAAUCCAAAAAAGCGCAAAUGAUAAAUUAUUGUUGACUCAAUGAGAUUGUUACACAAAACGUUUCUAUAUUUUGAAAUAGGCUCUAAUCAAGUCGCAAAUAAUGGCAAUAAUUUCUGUAAUAAAAAAAUAUAUAUAAAACAACUGAAUGGAACUAAAACAGGAUCCAGGGAAACACAAUUCACACGAAUUCAAUAAUUUUGCCACACAUAUAAGCAUUAUAUUAUUAAAGUACAUUCUACCGAUUACUCACACAACAAGCAAGUCCUUUUUUUCUGCCCAAUUACAUUGUAAAUCUUAAUUUUAGACACUUUACCGCACAGUUCGGUUCUUGACAGCAUGUACGUCAAGUUUCCCUGCAAAAAAAAAGUAACAAAACAAAACAUUCUAGCAAAAGCAAAAGUUAGGACGCGGAAGCAAAACCCGAACCACUGAUAAUUAACAUGUAUUCUUAUUUAUUUUAUUCUCAAACAGGACUGAUAGGAAAGACGAAACGGGAUAGAUAACAAAAAAAUUAAAUUUAUAUACUUUAUUCAGCUUUCGCGCCGCGUGCAAGGGCGCUUUUAAUUGGAACGGAAACUACUAUUUUGUUCGGAAAAAUGUGCUCUGCUUUAGGAAAUAUUUUUUUUUCUGAAAACAAAUUACAAAUAUUGAGGGGGCGUUCAUGGCAACAAUCACCAAAAAUAACGAAAAAAUCAACUUUUUUAUGCAACUAAAUUCAAAAUAUCUGCUUUUCUGUAUUGGAAAAGGAAGGUAAUUUUGAAACUUUACCAAGGAUUACAAAAACGCACAACAAAGGUUCUACGGACCUGCGGUCUAAGUGUUGAUCCUCUAGCCGGUGAGGGACCAGCUCAGGGUUAGCAUAAAGCGGUCUCCUUUCACCGAGCAACUUUGGGGAUUGGUAUAAAAAUUCAUUUAGAAUGUUCUGGUUUGAGUGGAACCUUUCUCAUCUGGACAAAAACUGAAUUUUUGCUGAUAGUGUUCGGCUAUUAGAAACUCAUUAUCCGACUAAAUUCCUUUCCCAAAACCGCGAAGAUUUAAUAUUCGAUCAACCCCUGUCUGAAGCAACAUAAAACAAGUACAGUUUCGGCUUCCAGUCUCUGGCAAGACGUUUCAAUUUCGAACGGAUAAAUUAUUAAUUUUGAUUGUAGGGUUGGGGCGUCGAAUGGCUUCAGGGUACAGACGUAAGCUAUGUUGAAAUUCCAAAAUUACAUUCCUUCACGGAAUGGCGAACAUCGGCUGUGAGUAAUACGCACUUUUAAUAGCAAUACAGGAAAAAGAAAACAAUAUUCGUCAAACUAAAACCAACAAUGGACUGCAACCAUCAAAAACGAAAUAUUUGAUAAUAAACCAUUCAAGCAAUUCCGAUCAGAUCUGAACUACGACUCGAAAAGAGAACAAAAACAAACCAAAACCACGCAAGCCAUUGGAAACGAAAGGCAGAAAGAGCAC
Molecule: long non-coding RNA, 3970 nt
Organism: Topomyia yanbarensis
Lineage: Eukaryota; Metazoa; Arthropoda; Insecta; Diptera; Culicidae
Exons: 2
Source: RefSeq, a predicted model, not a curated record